Molecule: RNA transcript, 15234 nt
Organism: Strigops habroptila (Kakapo)
Lineage: Eukaryota; Metazoa; Chordata; Aves; Psittaciformes; Psittacidae
Gene: TAFA2
Gene name: TAFA chemokine like family member 2
Exons: 4
Source: RefSeq, a predicted model, not a curated record
UAUGAUACCAACCUGACAUGUUACCAACAAGUUUAAAAAAAAAGUGCACAGGAAAUUUGGUGCACAUAGAAGACAUGAGUUGAGAAGACUAAAGUAGUGUGGGAAGAGUCAUACUGGGAUUGGACUUCCUGGUCCUGCACGCUUUUCUCAGCCUACUUUGCAAUUGCUUGAACAUGGUAAGCAGUGUGCCAGACUUUCUCAGGUAAGCAGAGGAGAUAGUAGAGUUGACUCCUUCUUCAACUACCAGUAAUGAUCAAAUGUGUUAUAAUAUGAUAUGUAUUUAUCUUUGAAACCAGUUGUACAAAGUCUAUACACCUUGCUAAGCUCUUCAUUCACAGAAUAGCAAACAAACAAGCGUAUUUUUAUCAGUAACAUGGAUUUACCAUGUUUCUACAUAGAAGCUGCUGAGUAUGGUAAGUAUUGAGUGCAUCACUACAGUACAAUCUGGUUCUUUCUGUCUUGUAUGACUGGGAUUUACUAAAAAAUUUUGAGAGUUCCUUUUCUCCAUUUGACACUUUUUAUAUUAUUGGUUCAAAACUACAUUAACAGAAAUACAUAUAACAUUCAUCAUAUACAAUGCCUGAAAACAAAAUUAAAGUGCUGUCAUCUCUGCUUUUUAGUGGCUAAGAGAAACAGGAGAAUAACAAAUUCUUCAGAUAAGCAUUAAGCACUCAAACUUCCUAAAACUACAGUGUUGUAUCUCUGUAGAGUCAGCACAGUUCUUCAUCAACAUGAAACAGAUUAAAAUGCACUCUGAAGACACAUGUGUGUGUGUAAGCAUGAACACCUACACCCCAUCAUACAUACUGAUGAUUGGCUUUGCUUUUCAGUAUUUAGUAAUUGUCUGCAUUGUCAGGCCGUAAUUGGCUAGUGUGGUAUUUACUGUAUGCAGGUGUUUGUGUCUCCCUGUCAUUUUAUUGCAAUCUUCCUUGCAUAGGCACUAAAUUUCUGGUACACUUUGGUUGUAGUGAAAUGUAGCGUGUGCGGGGUAAAUUAUAUUCCUUCCGUUCCACAGAGAGCUCUACAUGUCUCAUUUUCUGUAUGUAUAAGUCUUUAAAGCAUUUUGACAUUCUUUGAAGGAAGGAUAAUUCCUGAAUGUUUGAUAUACAAUUCCACUCCUGAAUCCUUUCUCAGAUACGUUUCUUCUGAAGCUAACCUUGCUUGAGUGCUGCCCACACUUAACUUUGUACAUGCCAAUGCAAAUCUGAUUAUAUGCAUGUAAAAUGUGUGCGCAUGUAUCAUAUAAACAAAAAGAACUAGAUAGAACUUAAAAAUAGGAAUAGAAAUAGAAAAAAAAAGUGUGUGCUUUGAAAUUUUUCCUGGCUAGUAUUACAUGGCACUAUUACUGUUAAAGAAUGCAUACCAUUUUAUACAUAUUGUGGGUAUUUGACAAGCAGUAAGUGAAGAUGUGGGUCUGGAUUACAUUUGCAUAGGAAAAAAGAGGCCACAAAAGGGGGAAAUAUCAGUUAGAAUCACCUUGAGGAGAUUUCUUCCUAACAUUUUCUCAGAAGAUAGUUUCUUGUGCAUUGGUCAAGGUUACGAAGUUCUGUUUGCUGUGAGGAUGUGAGCAAUCUAAAGAAACCCAAGGCCCUUGUUCUCAAGGGCUUAUGCUUCUGUUGCAGACUGGCCUGGCUUUUUUCAGGAGUUGGACUUUUCUUGUCCAAAUAUCAGUUGAUGUUGCCAUGAAUGACAACAAUCCUCAGGACUCAUUUCAUGCAUCUUCAGGAGUGAUGUUAUGAAAAAGCCAGACCUUUUUUGUAUUGGCCAUCAUACGCACUGAUUCAGUACAAUGGCUACCAUAACCUGCUUGCAGACCUACCACCACUAAAAGGAGAAAACUAAUACUCUUAAACCCCCCAGUAUUUGUCCUGCCUUCUAGUUCAUCCACAUACUGUAUGUCGUGCCUUUCUUAGUUCAUUUCCCACACAGCUGCAAAGCUGUUUUGAGACAAUAGCAAACUGGAAUUCAAAUUUCUGACCGAAAAUUGGUCUAAGCUAUUGAAACCAGGUGGCAGGUGAAUGAAGGUCUCUGUCUUUCCAGAUGUUUCUCCAGAUAUUAAUAGUCUUAAUUCUGAUGUCCAGAAAAAUAUAGAUUGCUUUUGGAAAUGUGAGUGCUUCUUUGUGUUAAGAGAAUAGCAUAUUAUCAAAAAGCAAGUACUCUUCCCUAACAUGUAGUAACUACAAUAUUUUUGUAGCUCCUCUUUCUGCUCCCCAAAGUCUAUAUAAACAAAAGGAAAAACUCUAAAGUGCUCUGUGGUUUCAAAACCACUUUUUUGAGAAAAAUAAAAAGAACUGCAUUGAGAGUCAGUGUUAAGAAGUAAUGAAUAAUAAGUGUCUAAUUGUCAAAUGAAAUAACCCAUAUGUGAUUAUCAUGUAUAAUGUAAAAGCAUAAAGACCACAAAGGGAACUGAACAUCUUGGGGGACGUAAGUAUAUUGCAGAAGAGCCUUGCAAAGAAUUUCCUGAAAGGUCUAAGAAAGUCUAUAUUCACGUCCAAGCAUUUUCUGUAAGUUGGCAUCCUUCAUGUUUAGAAAAAGUAACCCAAUUAACUGCUGAAGUACUAUCCUGUCUUCUACAGGAUACCAAGUUCAAAAGCAGCACCUACGUUUCCACAUCUCGAGCUGUUAUUAGUUAAGCAUUAUGUUAGAGAUAAAACCAGUGGAGGUAGGAGGUAUUUUGCUUGUCCACCUCUGUUAGCAUAUUUAACUACACUAUUGUAAAAAAUGAUGAUGCCAAAUUCUUAAUACCUGUGGUAUCAGUCACUAAGCAAAAAGGCCAAGUGAAUAAGGAGAGAAAACAAAUUGAUUUUUAAAAAUGUGGUCUGCUUGAUGUUUUGCACUUUGUUCAGAUAUGGGGAUCUAAUGAGGUAAUACAUGAAUAAUAAAUUAGAAAUAGCAUGAAUGUUAUGGUACUCAGAAUUCAAAUGUUAAGAAAACUCAGGUGGAAAUUAUUUACCAUCAGAAUGCAAAACCAAGUAUUAUGGAAAGAUUAAACUGUUUUUCCUAAUCUGUCUGCAUAUUAGUGGGAGAGGGCUGACAUUAGGAGUUACCAUGGAAAAGGAAUAAAUAUGGGAGGUUAAGUGUGAAUAAGCCAAGUACUGAGUUAACUUGUGCUGGUUUAGAAUUGACUAUUUUUAGUCUAUGUGGCCUGCAGGAGAGGGUAGGAAAAAAAAGACAAUGAUAAUUUAACUAAAACAGAAAUUUUUUUACUGCAUGGACAGAAAUGCAUGUUUGUGUUCCUGAGCAUUAUACCACAGCAAAAGAGGAUGUUCAGGAACACAUUAGGAGAAUUAUGAGAUGAUUAUGUGCAUAGGUGAGAUUUACCAGGCACAUUGUGGCAUUCCUCUCCAGACUGAGAAGCUGUGAGGGGAAGCAAUCGAAUAUUUUUCUAUAUGGUUGGCAGCAGUAUUUUGAUAAACAUAAAAAUUUGAUCAUGAUGCCCUAUUUAAAUGAUGACAAAAAUGUUUAAAAAAAGGGGAAAAUACAAAGAAUUAUUAUUUUUUUAACUUUGAAAAUAUCUUUUCUUCUCACAGCCUUUUUCUAAUAUAAUUGUUUACAUUGAAAAAGUAGUCUUAGCUGUGUUUCCUUUCCUUUUUGCAAAAUAAGGAAAAUGUCUGUUUAAACCAGAGGAAUUUCCCCAGCACCUGAAAACUACAAAAUAUAGCAGCAUUACAUAUAAAAUUGACAAUGACAUUAAAAAAAUGCUAAGCCUUUGUACUAAACAAAGGAGCCCUUUACAAAGACUAGAAGACAACAUUUUGCAGUCAGAUAAGAGCUGAGGAGAAAGAAUUUCAUAUUUCUCUCAGUUAUGGUGCAUAUUCCAUGCAGGAGGUCUCUGGAUAGGGGUUUUUCAAGGCCAGAUACAGAUGCCAGGCUUUACUUGUAAUAGAGGCUGUCUUUGAAUAAGAGCGCCAGAAGCUGCAUGUGACCUGCAUGAAAGUGCAUACUGCAGUGUCUCCGGAGAUCCCUGUCCCCCAGGCAUCCAUCCUGGGACUAGCUUGGAGUGUGUCAUGGCUCCUGGGCAGCCCAUAAACUUGUGUCUUUUCUAUAGAAACUGAAUUAUAGGAACACAAGUAAAGUGGUGCAUCCUGGGUCUCAUCUUGAGAUCCUGGAGCUGUGACAUGGCUGAAAAAGUGCACACUGGAGUGGGGAAGUGUCCCUCAGCUGAUAUUUUGUGAACAUGUAGAGAAGGAUGCAUUGAUAUUUUUCAUGUGAAAUAGAAUAGAGUAGAAUAGGACAGAACAGACCAUUUCAGUUGAAAAGGACCUACCACAAGUAUCUAGUUCAGUUGCCUGACCAGUUCAGGGCUGACCAAGUCAAAGCAUGUUAACAAGGGCAUUGUCCAAAUGCCUCUUAAACACUGUCAGGCUUGGGGCAUUGACCACCUUUCUAGGAAGCCUGUUCCAGUGUUUGACAACCCUCUUGGUAAGGAGGUGCUUCGUAAUGUCUAAUCUAAACCUUCCCUGGUGCAGCUUUGAACCACUGCAGUAAUGAAAUAGUACCCUGUCCUUAAGCUUUUAGUUUGACUUAGUAGAACUACUCGUGGAAUGGGGCAGUUUAACAUGAAGUACUAUUUUCAAUAUGUGGAGUGGAAUUUACUGGACUUUGCAGGGGUUCAAACUCUUCUAGAGUGAGGUGAGUAGCCUGAGCUCUAGGGUAUCUUUUUAGUAUUGGAGACAAUUGUUCUAUUUCAGAUGGCUAUUCAUUUUGUCCUAAAAUAAAUCAGAUUAAUUAUCUUCUGGAGGUGCUUAUGUCUCCCUCAUAACUCUAAAAGAAAACUAUGAUGAUUAGCUUAGCGCCUAACAUUGAGGAAGUUAAUGUUAAAUAGGAAGAUGCUGGUUUGGAUAGAAUGUUGAAUAGGAAGAUGCUCUCUACAAUGUGGUCUUCAGUGGAAAGAAGAGCAAAAAAGCACCUUCAUUCUUUGUCAGUUUCUGAAGCUUUGGAUUGUGGUGACUAUCAAAUGCAAUAUAAGAGAAUUUUCAAAAAUAUUCAUGUUCUUAAGAUGCACAGCUAUGAGCUAUGAAGACAACAUAGUCUUCAUGAGUCUAUGAAGACAACAUACACCAUAGUAUGGAUCAUACUAGGAUAAGCAACAUGUUCAGUAUCUAUUAUUCAGCAAAAAUUGGCAGCCAGUAUAUGUCCUCUAGAACUGACUUGUUGGUAUGAUGCUAAUAAUAAUACUUAUAUUAAUAAUAUAAAAGAACCAAAACCAUCAGGUGUAAUGCAUAACAGGUAUUGAUUAUUAACCUCUGAAAAUCUCUAGAAGGUGAAAGUGAACAACAUUCUCCUAUGAACAAUUGAAAGGUUUUUUUUCUGACAGGUCAUCUUUUGGAAAUGAGCAUCCAGCUUCUGGAAUAGCUGAACACCCACACUUUUAUGAGAGGUAGAAGCAACUGCGAUUGUCACUCUGAAAACUGGCUAUUAGUUUUAAUAUGUGGGGAAAAGCACACCGCAGAACAGAAAGAAAUCAAUAUCUAAUAUAUUACUAUGUAACUAUAUGCCAAACCAAUAUUAGAAAUUGAGUACUGGGGGAAAAAUAAUAGUAAUAAAAAAAAUAUUACAAGGACAGAAAUAAAUCCAUAUUGAGUAUAUUUAUCUACAUUCCAAAUCCAAAUUUGCUUUCCAAAUCAAUACCAGAGAUAGACAACUAGUGUGAAAAGAACAGAAAUAUUGUCAGGAUGGAGAGAAAUCCAUACUGAGAGUGUUUAUCUACAUUCCAAAACAAUAUUGGAAAAAGCCUGAAGUCAGAUAUUUGUAAUAUUCCACUUAAUCUAAUUUUACAUUAUGGCAUCCAGAGUUUAAAAGAAACUCAAAAUUGAGUAACAUCUUUGGAAGAGGAGAAAGCAUACCAUCCAAACACACCAACUGGCUGCACAUGGAGCCAAAUGGCGUUUAGUGUGUGCAUUCCACUACUCUGAAUCAAUGCAGUUCUGUUGCUAUCUAUAAAUACUGCUUACAUUUUUACACUACCUACUCUUUCUCACUUGCAGAUGCUGGAUUGUUUCUAAAUUAAUAACAGCUGCUAAAAGGAGAGGCAAUAAUUUUAUUUAUGUUUCGAUUUAUAAAAUACGCUGUUCGUAGCCUUUCCAGUACAAGGAAUGAGCUCUGUUAGCUACCUUUACAUAGUAAUGCUUUGCAGUGGGCUACUGAGAUUCUCAGUAUUGGGAGGCAGCAUUAGUGGUGACUCAACUAGUACGAGUGCUGUCGUAACUACUGCUUGAGUAAGACAACAUAAUACAAGAGAGCUAAAAUGUGUCCCUGGAUAUGAGAAAAAAAUGGCAUUUUUCUUGUAACUAAGCCUGACAUCAGUGUAAGCAAUGCAGCUACAUUAGUUGUUGAUCUGUGCUUCUCUGCAUGAGCAAUGGGUGUGUGGUCUCUUUAAGCAUCAGCAGAGGGGAAAAAAAUGGAACAAGUAUUACUGGUUUUUCUGCCAAGGUUGAACAGAAAUAUUGCCACUGCGGUAGCCUCUUCACUCACAUAUUCAUUCCUCUUCCUCCUCCAGGCUUUUAAACCAGCAGUAGCAAUGAUACAUAAUUUAAAAAAGCAGAAAUUCAUCAUAUAAAUAUGACAUUUAUGACAUUGUAUAAUUAUACAAUAUAACCUAUUGUACCUAGAUUAUUCUACAAUAGGCCAGACUUAAUGGUAGUUGUGGUCAGUCAGUGCUAAUAAGGCAAUGUAUUUCUCACAUGGCAUUUUUUUCACUGUAAAACUGCUACUAACUUUCAUCACAUGAAAGAAUUUGCCUUUUGCUGUGAGACAUGAAAUCUUACAGGAUAAAGCAAUGAUGUGUCAAUAGCAAAUCAUGAUAAGAAGUGCUUCUCCUAAUAUUAUUUAAGGGGCCGUAUGAAUAAAUUAAGAAACAACCUCACUAUAUAACAGCUCUAUUCCCCUGCCUCACUUCAGAGCCUCUGUCUAUAGAUUCCUCACCUUCUACCUUAAUUUCAGAUAAAGAUUUAUAGGAAUAAUACACAUAUAUACAGUGACUAGCAAUACCUUGUGGUGCAUAAAAAGACUGUGAUGGCAAUAUAAGUAAGUACAUAGACUGUAGCAAAAUAGUACCCAUGGAAAAGAGUGAUUGCACUUGUGACAGCCUCUAUGUUGCUAUGGCGUCUCUUUCCAUGCCUUUGGCUAAUCUCUCACUAGGAGAAAUUUGCAGCUGUCUCAGCAUUUUUCUCAUUGCUAACUCACAAACUGCUGUAUCUGUCUGUCAUUAAAAUAGCCAUAAGUGUUAUGUAUGCAUUUCCCUAAAAACACAUACCAAGUUUCAGGGGGCAAAUGAGUUGGUAAUAGAAAUAGGAUGGCAUUUUCUGAGGUCAAGUUAGCUUUUUAUGUUAGUCAUUAAUUAUUAUUUUGAUCUAGCAUCACAAUUCUUUCAUAUUGAAGCUCUGUAUUUUUUGUAAGACACCUACACUCUAAUCUUCUGGGACACUUGGAUAUUUUACUAAAAAAUGUUAGCAGUCCAGCCAACACAUGUUACAAGGAAUCAUCAGUAUUCAUGGCUAUGCGAUUUGCUGAUUUUCUUAAAAAUAGCCACUAUACGCCAAAUUUACUUAUUUAAUGUGAAGUUGGUGAGCCUAGUUCUGUCCGAUGAAAAGGUUCCUGUUGCAAAUCUACAUUUGACAAAAGUUUAGACCUAUAGCUGGAUGGUGAUCAUUUGUAGGUCACAGAAAUAUAGACAAGUAAUAUUCCUUUCCCCAAAGAAUGUACUUAAAAAUAGCCACAAACUCAUGUUAUGGUGAAAAGGAUUGAAGGAGUAAGUGUGAUGUGAAAUGUUAUAAGCAAAGCCGUAGUCUAAAACACCAGCAAAACUUGUUGGGCAAGUGAGGAUAAUCCAAACAUUGAACACCCAAGACAUCUUCAGUCUCAGAUUUUGUUUGGUUCUGUUCUGACUUUGAGUCCUAUGGAUACUGAUAUUAAGAACUGAAAGUGAGGAACAUCAGCAGUGUUGUGGUUUAAGCCCAGCUGGCAACUCAGCACCACACAGUCAUUUGCUCAACCUCCUCCUUCUGCCCUCCAGGCAGGAUGGGGAGGAUAAUCGAAAGAAUGUAAAACCCCUUGGGUUGAGAUAAGAACAGUUUAGUAACUGAAGUACAGUAUACUACUACUACCACUACUAAUAAUAGUGGUAAGGGAAAUAACAAGGGGGCAGAAUAUAAAGCUAAAAGGGGAAAGGAAAAAAGAAACCCAAUAAACACAAGUGAUGCACAAUGCAAUUGCUCACCACCUGCUGACUGAUAUCCAGCCCAACCCGAGAAGCAAUUGGUCUCUUCUGGGUAACUCCCUGCAAUUUAUAUACUGGGCGUGACAUGCUGUGGUAUGGAAUACCCCUUUGGCUAGUUUGGUUCAGGUGUCCUGUCUCUGCUUCCUCGCAGCUUCUUAUGCCCCUCCUCACUGGCAGAGCAUGAGACUGAAAAGUCCUUGAUCAGGGUAAGCAAUACUUAGCAACAACUAAAACACUGGUGUGUUAUCAGCAUUGUUCUCAGACUAAAGCCAAAACACAGCACUGCAGCAGCUACUAGGAAGGAUUAAAAAUAACUGUUACAGCUGAAACCAGGAGAAAAAGAGAGAAUGGGUUAAAGGUACUAUGCAUAGGCACAGCACUUUUGAAAAGAAGGAGCCUGUUAAUGCAGUACUUGAAGGAAAAUUUCUAAAAGCAGAAUAGUAUUUUAUUUUUUUAUUAGCAGCUUUUGCCUAGAAGGUUUGCAAUUUUUUGUUAUUUUUUUUCCCUUGCUGCAUCUCUUUGUGAAUACACUGAAUCUUGUCUCUAGUUAUUCCGAAGGGUUACUCUAUUUUUUUUGUGAGUAGACACACUGUACAAAUCAUGAGAAAUGAAGUAUUUUGCAAUCCCUUCAUCAUACUCACAGAGUGUUAGUAAUAUAUGAUGUGGUUUAUACAUUUUUAUGAGGGAAUAGUUUUUCCUGAGGUAAGACUGCAGCUAGCAUCCGUUGUAAAACACCAUUUUAGCUUCUGCAGAACCUGAAAAUUAACAGAAUUACUCUGAAAUCAAAGAAAAAUAGUUCUGCAAUGUUUAAAGAAAAUACAAAUGGAUUUCGGUUGCAUGUCAUUAAUUAACUAAUCAGUGAUUUUUGCAAGCAUCACUUUCUUCCACGUGGGAAUCCUCCACUCCAUGAGACCAGCCAAGAGGUUUUCUGCCUUUGUCCCAAAAGACUCAACUUGUGAUUUAUUUUUCUUUCUUUUCUUUUCCCCCCAAUUUGUCCUUUGCUGGCACAUUUGAGCUAUUGACCUCAUGCCUGAAGAAUAAUUUUCUGCCUCUGUGAUGGCAAAUGAGAAUGAGUUUUGAAGGCUAUAUGUAAAUUACUUGUUUUCUCCACUUCUCCAUGAAGUGGCAAAGACCUGAUAACCAAAAAUCAAAGAUGUUUCCACUCUCAUUUCCAGCUCCAUUCUGCCAGUCUCUUUGCCCUUUCACAGCUGUGCAAGAAGAGCUCUGAAUAUCUAGAAGUGGGUUUUAGUUUUCCUAGAAAAUCUGUCAGCUUCUGCUACCUACCCCACAAGUUACCAUAUAGGAAGAUGAUAUUCAAAUGCCAGUUUCAUGUGAGUCAUGCUGGCAUGCUGGCAUGAUUCUAAAACUAGUGCUUCUUCCUUGUCUCACCCUCCUUUGCAGUCUGCAAGGGCUUCUUCGGAUUGUUUAUGCAAGUCAGAAAUGGUACAUUUCAGCUCAGAGGGACUGGAGUGUUCCGAAACCUUAUAUUACCUACUACUUAAAUAGCUGCAGGCAGAACUCUUGCUUCUUUCCCUGAGUAUUUGGCACAGGCUUCACAAACUGUGUAUCACUGCUUAGUUGCAGAACUCAUAUGCAGAAAAGUGCAACCCAACUCUUCAAAAGGUAGUACUUUCAAUUCUCCAAAGUCCCAUAGUUUUCUUGAAGUAUUUCCUUAUUCAUUAGGACUGUUUAUAGAAAACCUCAGAAUUACCAUCCUGUCACAGCAUUGCUUUUCUGCCCUCUAACAGGGAAGGAAGGAAAUGGAUGAUGAUCAAUAUCAAGCAGAGAAAGUUAGUCAUACAGAGCAUUUUGCACAGUCACCGUUGGAGGAAUGAACAACUCUCAAAUAUCUGAGGUUACUUAGAUAUUAUUCCCUUGCAGAGCAAAGUGAGCAUCGUUGUAAAUCUUACUUAUUUCUCCGUAAGACUAAUGAAGAUAGUCCUGUCCUAUCUGAGAACUGUUCAAAAUGAAGAAAAAAUGUAUUUCAGGCAAGAAUAAAUGGAAGACUGAUGUCUAGGACUAAAUUAAAAAUCAAAAGGACCAGCAUAAAAUUAAUUUCCAUAAGAAUUUCCAAGUUGUUAAUUUUUUUCAUAGCUUGUCGUUUACUCCUUCCACCUUGGUGAACACCAAAUUAAUCUUAGGAAAUACACUACUGCUUUGUAUGGCAAAAGGCUCCAACUUUAGAUCUGCUAUAAAAUGGACUUCGAGCUCUCUUCUGCUGCAUUAUUGGCAUAUACAGAUGAUUCUUUCUCAGAUCUUACAGUCAUGACUAUCAUUAAUCCCCUUCCAUAUCUGCAGUAAGAAAUAUCACAGAGCUCUGAAGUGGAGAUUCUGGGUAAAGCUACAAAAUACACAAUUCACCAUGAUGUAUUUGUAUGGUGUGACCUGUAGAAUUAUAUUGGCAAGACCUCUAAAAUCAGAAGUGAACCCAAGUGUGUCUCCAGUUUGUAAAGAUGGAUAUGAUCUCAAGGAAACAAUGGAUUGUGUCUAUCAACAUGUAUCUACAAACUCAGCAGCAAAAGAAGAUCUGAGAAUUUUAAUGGAGCUGCAUAUUUUAAGAGGUCCAAACCUGCUUUGCCUCUUCAGGUUCAAGAAUGCCAGAAAAUAUUACUGAUGCCAACCAGCUCAUUCUUCAUCUUUAAUUUAAGCCUUGUGGCUCAGGAACUUGUCUCUGCCAGAAGAAGAACAAAAGACUACCUCUGCUUGUGCUGUUACUAAUGCAGGCAAAUGCACAGAGUACUUUUUCUUCUAAAAUUCUGAGAUCACUCCGUCCUGCCUCUUUGCCAUCUCUCCAGAGUUGGCAAAACCAGAGUAUAGUAAAUUUAUACUCUUCAAGGCAUUGUUCUAAUUCUAGUUGUUAAUAAUUAUUGUUCAAUAUUUUCAGAAUAUGAAAAAGGAACAGGAGACUUUCUCCUAGAAUGCAACUUGGCAGAUUUGAAGGUGAUUACUUGCAAAGCAAAUUUCUUUUGGAGAGCUAUUAAAGAAAUUACCAGAGUCCUUUUUCUCUCUUGACCUUAAAGCAAAUCAUUAGUACUUACAUUCCCGAAAUUUGAAGGUAACAGUUAACAACGUCUUCAGAGCCUUUUGGUCUUUCCUUCAUUAUUUGAGAUUUUAGAAUAUCAGUGUCUAAUUGUGAUUAGCUACUCCAGUUCAUUCGUACUUACCUUGUCUUGGUUCACAUGCUAGUCAGAAGAUAAUGAGAAGAUGAAGAUAUGAAGACAACUGGCCAGGUUCUUUAUGGAAGACAAAUUAAACUGAAUACCAAAGCACAUUCUUCAUUAGAUUUCUAGACUUCAUUUCCCCUUUGACAAGAUACAUCUUUUCUGUGUACUCUGAGGUUCAAAAACAGUAUGAAGACAAUCCCCACUCCUCCUCCCCCAGAGGAGUUACAGGAAAUUGUAACUUUCACCUGGAAAUUUCCAUAAUACUCAAGCAAGAAGACAUUUAUGAUCCAUUCAGGAAUGAUGCUAAUAGCAUGCAUCAGUUUAUCAUGAGUUCAUGGCAAAUGCAAGGCCAAAACACCAGAGCCAUGAUUUUCUGGAGUUAACACCAGUUUGUUAUGCUAUGUUCUUUCAAGAAUGCUACAGGAGCUUGUGACCAUUACAUGUAAAAAAUGCAAGAGAAUGACGGUGAAAUUUCAUCAUCUAAAUGCAAGUCGAUAUGCUCUCUGUUUUGUGUUCAAUUUAUCUACUUAUGAAAUUGACAGUACUAGUUGCUUUUUUCCCUUCUUCGUCUCUGAGGAUCAAGAUGACUACAGCUGUUAGUUGGGAAUCAGCAACCAUAAUCUUGACCGCUUCUUAGUGAUCCAGACUUUAUGUAUUUUUUCCUAGGCAAUGAGAAAUCCUUCUAAUUGUUCAUCUAUGACAGCUUUUACAUGAAAAGCCCUUGAGUCUUCCUUUUCCCAGUUCUGUUAAGACUUGAGAGAGUGUGACAGGGAUUUUGCUGAAAUCCUCCAAAUCUGCCAGCUUUCUUCAGUUUCUUAUCUGUAUUAGAGUGCUGGCGUGAUGGGUACUUAAACUGGAGAAAGUUAAAAUUAAAUUCCCUUAAAAUAAUUUUAUAUUCUCUGAAUGGGUACCCACUACUCUGUCAGCACUCACAACUUUGGCUAAAAUUUCUCCAAGCCUGAGAAAGUCUUUUCUUCAUGUGGAGAUUCUAAAUGGAUGCAAAGAGAGAGGAAAAUGAUCAAAGGGUUCCAAGUCGAUAACUGAUUCAUUGGUUUUAAACAUUUUUUUUCCUGCCUGGAUAUUGCUCUGCUGUUUUCUAACUUGUUUUUUAGUUGUCUUAUAUUCCCUCAGCUGUGGCAGUAUUCCUGGAGCCAAAUGUGAGUGCACUACCUCAAAAUGCCAGCAGUGGAAGCUGGUAAGCAAGUGGGGGAAAAUCACCAGAGGAAUCACUGAAGCUUGGGACAAAGGCAGAAAACACAUCAGUACUGCACUAACAGAGCAGCAGGUACCCUCAUAGAGAAGAUAUAAUUACAGUCUUUUAUGCCGCCAUGCUGCAGUCCCACUAUGGAGUUCUGAUCACCACAAAAACCUCAAGAGGAUAUAUCCUUGUCUGAAUGGCUACAGUUAUUAUCUGUUACAGAAAGUAAAAUAAGGCAAACGUGUAAAACUCCUCGAGUCCGAAUGGAGACGUAGAGAAAGGAGGUUUCUGCUGUGCCUGAUGACAAUUUUUGUUUUUUUCCACACACACAAAAUAUUCUGGCUCCACGUCGGAGCACUAGUUGUGAUGAAUCCUAGACUUGGUCGGAUUCUAAGGAAGGGACAGAACGUUCAUUGAGGAAUAAAGAGUCAGACCACUCCAGAAAAUGUGUUCCAGCCCUGGUUUAUUACUCACAGAGCAGCAGGUAACCCGAUAGCUAAAGACAAAUCAAGUCAGUCUCAAGGCUGAUAACAUUAAAUACAACACACAGGAAUUUCAUUCCUCCAGGCAAUCCUUGAAGUGAAAUUUUAUACUGCUGGGGUGUAUCCUUCAGAAUCAAUUGUUUCAAUGAGAACCUGGCUUGUAAUCAGCAACAACCUUGAGAUCAAAACUACUGGGAAGUUAUUUGGAACUUCUGUGUCACAAAGAUUUCAACUGAUUGAACUGUGUACACUUGUAAAAUUGCACUUGCUGAGGAAUUUGCAGCUGUAAUCACGAGAGUUGAUAUUUAAAAUGUGCAGAAAACCAACAAUCUUUUGGAUUCUCCAUUCCAGACCAGUGGCUUUUCAUCUUGAUGAAGUCAACCUCCAAAAUGUAUUGGUUCCUUCUCUCUAAAAUGAACCCUGGUCCACAUUCAGAUCGCUGAUGGGACUGCACACUGCUUUAAUUAAAUUUCUGUUGCAGAAAUUGUCCUCUGGCAUGGCACAGUUUUAGACAUUUUUAUUUGUAUUCUAAUCUUGGAGCUUUCAAAGUUACAUAUUUCAACAUCUUGAAGUUGCUUUUGUUAUAGGAAUGGAAAUAUAUAUACAUUGUUAAUAAUUAUUGUUGACAAGUAAUAGUUAUCUGAAUACAUCGGUAAUAUUAGAAUGUGUAGUCAGGUUGACAUGUUUCCCUAAGGCUAACCAACUACUGCAGCUCUUUGGCGAUUAAAAAAGUAGUGGUCAAAACUCAGUUACCACUUCCAUUAUAAGGCAUUUUAUAACUUUAAAAUACACAUUUCCAUUUAGUUUGAAGGAGAUGAGUGUUCCUGAUAUGUACUUUACUUUCCCAACCUUUAGUUCAUUGAAAUUCAUGGUAAGCAUUCAAUGACAGUAUUCAUCCCUUUUUAUAAAGGUAGGCAGGGAUGUUUUGCAAUUAUGAAAUUGGAUGGUAAUAAUUCAGAAUUUUGGGGGUGUUUUUUAUUAAAAAAUAAAAUCUCUUGCUUGAACCUAAGUACUGUUGGGUGCUUAUGUAGAUGUCUGCUCAGUCUGUUUGCUAUAAAGGGAAAAAGCCCUAGUGCCCUCUCAGAUUUACAGUUUGUGGGUAUUUUGCUUGCUUGCAGUCGUCCAAUUCAGAUCUGAUCCUUGGCAAAAUCACAUUUACUUUUUUAUUUUUGUUUCAGUAGCAAUUUUUGAGCUUAGUGAUGUGCUGUUACAUGAAAAGAAAUCCUCAAUAUUUAAAGGCCUUAAGCAUCUAUGAGCUUUUUUCUGGGUUAGUACAGAAUGUAUAAUUUUAUACUCCAUUUAAUGUAUAUUGUACCAUCUGUAAUAUUGAUACAACAGAAAUUUGGCAAUUCCAUCUAGUGACACUGCAUAAGCAUGCUGACUGGAGAGGGUGAGGGAGUUCUGACGGUAUGCUUUGGUGCAUUGAAACGAAAACCACACACACUUAAUGGUAGUCAAAAAUAUACAGGGUGAGCUUAUUUAGAAGUCCUGUGUGGUUACCAGACUCUCAGAAAAAGAGGGAAAUGAUUUUAUCAUCACAAGCCAUUGACAUGGCUAGGUAGUUAUAUAUUAAGUUCCAUGAUGGAUGAACACCCUGGAGUGCUCUGCCUAUCACAGUAGCUCCUGCUGUUCCAAAACCAUUUCAUUACCUCUGCUGUAUUAUUGCACAGAAGAGCUUAAAUAAAAUAAAUGACUGUUGGGAAUAAAAUUGAGAAGUAUAUUCUAUCAUUCUGCUGAGAAAUAAUAAAAAAAUUUGGCGGGGAAAGAUACUCUUUUCUGAUUAAAAUUUAAUUAGGAUAAACUAGCAGCAACUAGGUAUCUCAGUAUUUUAGGAUGGAUAAAUAUUGUAUGGAUUUGUGCUAACAGGUGCAGGACAGAAGGCAGCAUCUUAAAGAGGUUGUCUGGGACAGUGCGAAGUGUAAAUGUGCUGUUUUGUAAAAUCUGAAUAUAGCCUCUCUUUGGUCAAAAACUACAUCAUGCUUCUCAAUAUUUGUUUUCUUUGUUUCUUUGUUCUUAAGCCAACAAUGAAAAUACUGUAUAAUAUACAAGUGUACACAUGCAUAUCAAUAAGUGAAAAUAAAUGGAUUUUCAAAUAUACUGAAUAGAUUAUCUGAAGUAGAUUAAUGUUGUGAGUAUUCAUAGAAAGUGAAUAAAAUUGUAAUAUAAAAUAGA